Molecule: unclassified non-coding RNA, 456 nt
Filed under: uncultured Mortierella
Lineage: Eukaryota; Fungi; Mortierellomycota; Mortierellomycetes; Mortierellales; Mortierellaceae
Description: sequence contains ITS2
Rfam family: 5.8S ribosomal RNA (bases 1-154)
Source: RNAcentral
AACUUUUGGCAACGGAUCUCUUGGCUCUCGCAUCGAUGAAGAACGCAGCGAAAUGCGAUACGUAAUGUGAAUUGCAGAAUUCAGUGGAUCAUGGAAUCUUUGAACGCAUAUUGCGCUCUCUGGUAUUCCGGAGAGCAUGCUUGUUUGUGUAUCAGCAAACACCUCAAAUCCCUCUACUUGUUGGGGGAAUUUGGACUUGAGCAAUCCCAACUUUUCGAAAGAGAAGGCGGGUUGCUUGAAAUGCAGGUGCAGCUAGAUUCUUUCUUCUGAGCUAGAAGCAUACUUAUUUAAUCCCGUCAAACGGAUUAUUACUUUUGCUGCAGCUAACAUAAAGGUUGAAGAGUCGCUAUGGCUGACUGAUGCAGGAUUUAACAUGUCGCGCAAGCGAUCUGUAAACUCGAUCUCAAAUCAAGCAAGACUACCCGCUGAACUUAAGCAUAUCAAUAAGCGGAGCCU